AGUGCGAGGGAGGCUGUUGUCCGCGGUGGUGCUCAGGCCAGAAGAUCCAACAAAAAAAUGGCUUGGAACCCUGACACAUUUGUUAACAAAUUGCAUAUAUUGCUUUAUCCUCAAUUCAAGACAGUUAUGCCGAAUUGAAUCUGAAUUGAUUUUUUUUACAUUUGAAAGCUUGCAUGGAUGUCAGUGCUAUAAUACAAGAAACAGGACUGUAUUGCAAGAGAGAAGGAAUUCUUCCAACUAUUCUUAAGCUCUGUCAGUGUAAUUUAAAUUGCUUUUUGCUGGGCUGUGUGUGGCUGUUGUGUUGAACAUUUUAAACUUUCUUCCAAGUUGCCUAUUUUUAAAAAUCAAAUUAAAACAAAAGUUUUAUUAGAAUGGAAGUGUAUUCAGCAGUAGUAUCUGAUCUACUGGUAAAGUCAUAGCAGGGAGGCUUGUUUUAAGUUCACAUUAUUUGCUAUGAUGGAAAAAUAAAAUGUUUCUAGUGUUUA
Non-coding RNA from Pantherophis guttatus, 485 nucleotides. NCBI's taxonomy places the organism in Eukaryota, Metazoa, Chordata, Lepidosauria, Squamata, Colubridae. The record is from RefSeq and is a predicted model, not a curated record.